RNAcentral lists this long non-coding RNA (3031 nucleotides) under Salmo salar (Atlantic salmon). RNAcentral's name for it is "lncRNA (ENSSSAG00000086801.1)". Lineage: Eukaryota; Metazoa; Chordata; Actinopteri; Salmoniformes; Salmonidae. The record is from RNAcentral.
ACCAUGUCUAAUGGCCCCUGCUGAGACAAGCGUCCUGCUCCCUGCUGCUCCCAGCACCAGUUGGCAUCAAGAGGAUUGUGGAUAAAUAAAAACCAUAGAAAUUGGGGCUUGAAAUGUUGGGGUGUAGCCUCCCCCAAAACCUUAAACCCGCAUCUGUUGCUUGCUGUUGUCAUGUACAUGAAAGUUGAUCACACAUGGGAUAAGAUGUGUCUCCUCAGCUCCUCUCUGUUUCAACACAAACAUGGCAGAAUAUUUCCUUUCUUCAAUCUUAUUUUAUUAGAUGGAUUUUUUUACAUUUUAAUCUUUUUGUCUAUGUUGGCGUUAAUGCUGAGGUUCUGUAGGCCUUGUUUCCACUUAGUGCUUGAAUAGUGGGUAAUCUCACUUGCUGGUAACAUCCUGAAGAAGAUGUCACUGAGGGGUUCCUGGCAAGUUGCUCCAACGACCUUUCCACUGAUUCUCACCUCUAUUAAAGAUUUAUACAUUGAAUUAUUUAACACAUAGGAACUUCAUACUAUGGUAAACAGUAACUACCCAUUGCUAGCAGUAUUUAUUUUAUUUUAUUGGAAACUAUGUUUUGGAUGGAAUUGUAAUUGUAAUUGUAGGUCGGCAAUGCAGUAGAACGAAGACGUUAAUGGAUUGUAAUGUUAGAUGCUGUAUUUGUUGUGCUUGACCCAUUGUUCUCAACUAGGAGGUAGAAUCCCCUUAUAUUUCAACCCUGCAACAGCACAGGCAGAAGUGUACAAUAGUUACUGCCAGUGCCCUCCCUAUGUCUGUCUAUUACCACUGUGAACAGAGGGCCCCAGGGCCCUGGUGGAUUGUAAUGAAAUUUGCUGUAUUUGUUGAAUGUGAACACUUAUUUCAACAUUAUAGGAGUAAGGACAGGUAUUUCUUUAUUUUUUACUUCAGUUUAUUUUAGUAAAUACAUUCUUAACACUUAUUUUUCUUAAAACUGCAUUGUUGGUUAACGGCUUGUAAGUAAGAAAUUCACUGUAAGGUCUACACCUGUUGUAUUCGGCAAAUGUGACAAACAAAAUGUAAUUCGAUUUUUAAUUUGAGGUAGAAAUGUAUUGUAUCCCCCUCAUGUCUACAUGUUACAGAGGAACCCAGGGCCCUGGUGGCUCACCUUGCCUUGCACCUACUACUAUUGUCUCUGCAAGGAUGUAGGAUCAGGCCCUUUGGCUGAGUAGAGGUCAGAGGACACAAUCCUAUGUGCACACAAGUGGGUUUAAAGUGCCCCCUCCUUUCACAGAGGAAGAAAAGAGACCCUCCCCUCAGCAUAUAGCAUCAAUUCCAGCAGCUUCCCAAGGGACCAAGUUCUUUCUCUUGCAUCCGGGUGCUGUUCCUCUCGCUCUCUUGCUCUCUCUCACUUUCUCACAGACAAACACACACAGCCUAAUGUAACCAAUCACAACAGAGCUUGAUGAGUAACCCCAGCCUUUCGUAAGCCCUCCUGGCAGUGACUGAGACCUGUGACUUCCCCAGUACACGUGAACCCAUUGGGAGAGAAUAGGCUUUGCACAUGUAAUCCUUGUCUCUAUGUUUAUUUUUGGUGCCUAGACUCUUUCCUUCAGUGGGGAGAAUGUGUGCACGCAAAAGGCCUGAUGAAUCUGCACUGUGUGUGGGAGUGUGUGUGUGUGUGUGUGUGUGUGUGUGUGUGUGUGUGUGUGUGUGUGUGUGUGUGUGUGUGUGUGUGUGUGUGUGUGUGAUUUAUACCAUUUAUAUGUACUGUAAUGACAAUCUAACUAUUGUGGGAAGGGAUUCAAAUGAAAUAUCUCAGUAUUCAUGUAGUAUUGAAAAGCACAUUUCAAGUACUCCUGAUAAUCUGGUAAUACAAAUAUAGAUCAUUUUAACAAAAUGAAAGGGUGCAGGAACAAUAGUUAUAUUUUUUCCCAUAGUGCACGUUUCUCACAAUAUGCAACGUGGUCAUGAUUGAAUCUUGCCCAACAAGUAUUAUUAUGUUACUGUAUAUUUUUUAUUACACAGAUUACACUCUGAAUAUUUUCCCACAUCAUCACCUUAGUUUUCAACACAAACAAUUAAAAUCAGACUAGUGUCAGUGGUAUUUCUCUGAAAUUCUAUCCUCCAUUAUGAGUGUUUUGUCAAAGUAACGCCCACAAACCAUAUAGAACCAGUUGAUGGCUUGACAAUGCCUCUUUUGUCAUUGGAUAAUUUGAUCAAUAAUCAUAGUAUGCACCUUCUUUUUUUUCUCUCGAAGAGCUACUGUUUUCAGAAAUAUAUACAUUUCUGAAGAUUCCUAUUGUGGAUCUGAAAAUCUAUGUGUUAUGCACUUAUUAUCAUAGUAAUUGAAAUAUACUUUAUGCACUUUGUCUAUUUAUGAUUUAUCAGUGGGUUUCACAGUAACAGUAUUUUGAAUUGUUUUAUUUCUAAAUUAAAUGUAAUUCUUUUCUUUAAGGCCCAGUGAAGUCACCAUGCGGUAAAUUGGUUAAUAGACCAAUAACAAAGAGAGCUCCAAACCUCUGCCAAUAACAGCUAGUUUUCUGUGUUACCCUCCCCACUCAGACCACUCCCAGACAGUCCUAGCAAAAUUCUUGCUUGAGAAAUUGUUUUUUUUGCUAAAAAGCUGUUUUGGUCCAUUUGAAUGGAAAUCUAUUACAAUAAGGUACUUAAUUGUUACCCAGAAAUGAUUUGAUAUUGAUUUAAAAAUGGCUGCAUUGGGCCUUCAAUAUAAUUGUUUUGCCUUGGAAUCUACAUUUACAAUAAUGUACUGUUAUCCAUUCAGACCUUGCAUAUUGACUUGGAUACUGAAUAUAAUGUCUUAAUGUUUACACCCUGACUGUUCAUCAGAACGUAUUGAGGUCAAAACAGAUCUACAGGAUUUUUUGGGGAACAAAUGUAAUUUAUCACUGAUGUAAUUCUAGUAAUAUUUUUGUAUAAACGAUCAUUGGCAUGUCACAUCUAGGCCUAGUGUUCAUUAUAUAUUCCUGCCAAUACAAUUCCCUUAAAAACAAUAUUGUAAAUAAAGAUGUGAAACGAAUCUCUGUGUCCACAUAAUAAUGUCACCUGAAGGUUA